Long non-coding RNA from Felis catus (domestic cat), 1792 nucleotides. RefSeq lists it as uncharacterized. NCBI's taxonomy places the organism in Eukaryota, Metazoa, Chordata, Mammalia, Carnivora, Felidae. The record is from RefSeq and is a predicted model, not a curated record. The transcript has 3 exons.
AAAAAUCCCAAACUCUUUGUACUUCUUCCAGGAUAGGGGGAAGGAUCUCUGAAUGUGCAGUGUGGGCAAUGGUGGGGUCUGGAAGGUGGUAAUCCUGUGUUCUUCUGAACUGGGACUGGAUGAAAUUCCUAGGGGAGCAGCCAUCAGCCGCAGCAGGGGUGUUAGAGCCCCACCUGUAAUGUGGUCCGUAGGUUGAGGCAAGGAUCUGGGUGACCAUGGAGAUCUGGCGGGGGAUUCUCCAGACGUGGUGGGCUGGUUUAUUCCCGGCAUGUGAUUCCGCUUGGGGCAAGGCUCUCUCUUGGGGGACACUGGUUUCUCCGUCUUUGACCUCAUCUGGGGUACUUUAGGAAAUAUUCGUGCCUGGUUUCCAACGCCCCGGAGAUUCUGAUGUAGCGAAUCUAUACCCCCUCUCUUUCCCCAUCAAUCCCACUGCCUCCACCGCCAUGCCCACCAUCCUGAGGAAAAGGGACAGACAAGUUCCAACUCACUACAGCGCCGUGGGUUGGUCUUCUUGUGACCGCUUUACCUUUUACUCAACACACAUCCACUGGGAACCUGGGUGUUGGUGAAAACGUAGCCUCGUCGCUUAAAAUCUACACCGCUUGGGUGUUUGGUUUCAGUUGUACUGUCCGUGAGAAGAGGGAGCAUAUGGUACAAUGUGUUCAUGACGUCAAGGCUCCUGGGGACAAUGACCUCACAAGGAGACUUGUUUGUCAGCACCCUCAGAGGUAAAGCCUGUCACAAUCCCUUGGCUGCUUGUUGGGCUGGGACAUCAGAUGUGGGUUAUCCAACACACUGGACCCAGGAGCCCCGUGCGUGCCCGCACACAGACCUACCUCAGGCACCUGAAGAAACAUUCUGUGUAUCCUACAGCUAAGUCUGUGGUCCACGAGGCCUGGCUGGCCCUGACUCCAUCUAAGCAUUCCUGGGACUCAGGAAGUCCAGUUCUGGGAGAUCUCCCUCAACUGGGAGUGAUUUAUCUGCAUUUCUCCAGGAUGGCGCUUUGUAUUAUCUGUCUCCAUAUCCCUAGAGUAUAGCAUGGUACGAAGAAGCUGAAUAGGACGGGGUUGAUAAACACCAGUGUUCCUGCUUCUCGGGCCUUCGGACUCAGCCUGGGACUUAGACCAUCUACCCCGAUCCUCAGGCCUUUAGCCUUGAGCUGCAUUACACCAUCAGCUUUGCUGGUUCUCUGGCUUACUGACAGCAGAUCCUGGGACUUCCUGGCCUCCAUAAUUAUGUGAGCCAACUCUUACAAUAAAUCUUCUCUCUCUCUCUCUCUCUCGUGUACAUCCUACUGGUUCUGUUUCUCUGGAGAACCAUGACCAAUAACACAGUUUAAUGUUGAUUUCAUCUCCUCAGCCUACCGGACUGUGAGACAAUUCAAUCCAAAUAUUUCUUUGGCCACUAUGUGAUCCCCUACUGGGUUGGAUAAAGGCCCCAGGCCACUCCUGCCAUGAGUCACUAGUCCAUAUGUCUCACAGUGGCAAUGCCCCCACCCAACAGGUGCCGACUCUCUGGAUCUACUGCUCGGCGUCUUUCAGAUCACCUUUGGGCCAUGGGUCAGUUUUAUGGUAUGGCUUUAAAAUUUAAUCUUUUUAUUUUGGUAAAACAUAUGCCAUAUAUUUAUACAUAACAUAGAAUUUACCUUUUUAGCCAUUUUUAAGUGUAUAAUCUAGUGGCAUUAAGUACAUUUGCAAUACUGUGCAACUAUCCCUACCAUCAAUUUCCAGAACUUUGUCAUUAUCCCAAACAGAAAUUGUACACCUUUGAAUAAUAACCCUCCAUCCGCCCC